Oryctolagus cuniculus (rabbit) is the source of this 7370-nucleotide non-coding RNA. The record is from RefSeq and is a predicted model, not a curated record. Lineage: Eukaryota; Metazoa; Chordata; Mammalia; Lagomorpha; Leporidae.
AGUCUGAUUUCAUGAUCAGUUAUUUAACAGAUCUCCAUUUCUUUGGAGUCCAUUAUUGGAGUUUAGUUAAUUUCUUUUGGAGUAUCAUGACUCUCUGAUUCUUUGUAACACUUGUGCUUUUGCAUCAUUGCCUGUGCAUUUGAGGAGGAAAAUCUUUCUUUGGUGUUUGUAGAUGUUCUGUUUAUAGAUCUUCAGAUAAUGCAGUUUGUGAGCUAUGGAAUUCCAGCUAGUGAGGAUUCUGGGCAGGCACUACUUUCUGUGGGUUCUUCAGUUGAUGGGACUGCUAUGUUUGCUCUGAGUUGGGUAGCAAGAUCACUGGCUGGUCUUUGUUGUCAGAUAUAACAGCCUCUGGUCUUGUUGGUCACGGGAUGCAUAUCUUGUGCUGGCAACUCCAUUUGGAGCUGCAGUUAUGUGAACUUCAGACUGGGAUUCAAGGAUAGACACAGUUUCUGCUUGUGCAGGGAACUGGAUCAGAAGUGGAGCAGCUGAAAUUCCAGUUGGAGCUCAUAUGAGAAUCUGGCAUCACAGGGCAUGGCUUAACCUAUUGCAUCACAAUGAUGGGCCCGACAUUCUCAACAAUUAACACAGGAUCAUUCUCCUUUGCCUGUAUGGAAUUAAGCCAAAGUACACCUCAGCAAUUCAGUUCACUGCGAGUGGAAGAGUGAGAUAAGUACUUAUGAUGUGGUUAAGCACUACAGCUUUAAGACCUUCAAUGAGAGUCUAUAGCCUGAGUCUCCGUAACAACUGAUGCCCAAUAUGACCACUCUGGCAUGAAAGAAGCCUUUCCUGUUAUUGGCUCCAGGAAUUCUUACAAUUCCCUUUGUGACAUAUUAAAUAGCAAAUUCUUCUCCCUCCAGUGCUCUGAUUUUUAAAAAGGACAAUCAGGGAAAAUGUCUAUGGAAAGGCUACUUUCCAGCUAUUGGAAUCAGCUUCCAGUAAUUGUUGGUUUCAGAAAUAACUGCUCGCUUUCACUGGUGGUGUAACUCAUAAGAGGGGCAGAGUUUUUGAUAUUUUGCGUUGUAUGCUCAGAAAGCAGAAAGCAUUGCUGCAACUUUGGAUUCCACAAAAGGAAAUGCCCUGAAUGUUUGAGGCCAAGCCACAGUAAGUGUCCUGCCCCAGCACAGUUCUAUCUAUCUCAGUGUCUCCUGCUGGAUUUUUUUUUUUUUUUUUUGACAGGCAGAGUGGACAGUGAGAGAGAGAGACAGAGAGAAAGGUCUUCCUUUGCCGUUGGUUCACCCUCCAAUGGCCGCUGCGGCUGGCGCGCUGCAGCCGGUGCACUGCGCUGAUCCGAUGGCAGGAGCCAGGUGCUUCUCCUGGUCUCCCAUGGGGUGCAGGGCCCAAGUACUUGGGCCAUCCUCCACUGCACUCCCUGGCCACAGCAGAGAGCUGGCCUGGAAGAGGGGCAACCGGGACAGAAUCCGGCGCCCCAACCGGGACUAGAACCCGGUGUGCCGGCGCCGCAAGGCGGAGGAUUAGCCUACUGAGCCACGGCGCCGGCCUCCUGCUGGAUUUUUUAAUAACCAUCCUGUUUUUGAAUCUUCCUGCUAACCAAAAUAAUCAUCCUCACUUACACCCAUAAGUUUUUAGGAAAAUUAUUUUCCCCCAUCAAGCCCUCUCUCACUGUCUUGUCUUCUCCUUGCUGAUGGUUCUUUGAGAAUCUUCUCUUGGCUGUCCCAGUGACUGUUACUCUGCCACACUAGUCCUGUAGAUUCAACUGUCACCUGCAGCCAGUGUCAGGCUGCCUAACUCAUGUGGCAGGAGGCAUUUUACAUUGUUGAAGGUCUAGGUGCAGAGCUCAAUAUUUUUUGUCCUUGCAAAGAUGUGCUUUAGGAGCCAGGGACUUGCUCUUAAUCGCUUUUUAAAAACUUUCUUCUCCGUGCCCUAUGAUAGAAAAAAACAAUUUGGAUGGGGAGUGCUGAGACCCAUAGAAGGAUUACAUCACCAUAUAUCACAUACAUUGAAAGAUUAUUGUGCUUAUUUAUUUUAGUUUUUAUUUAUUUAUUUUAAAGUAGACUGACAGAGAGAGGAAGAGACAAAGAAAUGGAGAUCUUUCAUCUGUCAGUUCACUCCAAAUAUGUGCAAAAGCGGGGGCUGGGCCAGGCUGAAGCCUGGAGCCAGGAAUUCCAUCCAGGUCUUUAACAUAGGUGGCAGGCACCAAGUACUUGGGUCACCAUCUGCUGCCUCCCAGGCACAUCAGCAGAAGGUUGGGUUAGAAGCAGAGUUGAAACUAUAUCCCCAGACACUCCCAUAUGGGAUGCAGGCAUUGCAAGUAGUAGCUAGUAGUAGCUUAACCAACGGUGCCACAAAUGCCCAAAUAUGUCUGUACUAGUUAGAUGAGAAAAUUCUUUAAUUCAUGAGCAGAAUUUGAUGGGCUUGAGUUAGUGUAUAAAUAGCAAACAUAAUAUUUUAGUGAAAUUGCUAUAAAAAUCAUUUUUAAAGAUUUUAUUCAUUUAUUUGAGAGGUAGAGUUACAGACAGUGAGAGGGAGAGACAGAAAGAAAAGUCUUCCUUCUUCUGGUUCACUCUCCAAAUGGCUGAAAUGGCCGGAGCUGUGCCGAUCCGAAGCCAGGAGCCAGAUGCUUCUUCCUAGUCUCCCAUGCGGGUGCAGAUGCUCAAGCAUCUGGGCCAUCUUCCACUGCUUUCUCUGGCCACAGCAGAGAGCGGGAUUGGAAGAGGAGCAUCUGGGACUAGAACUAGUGCUCAUAUGGGAUGCCAGUGCUGCUGGCAGAGGAUAACCUACUGCUCCACAGUGCCAGCCCCUCAAAAAUCAUUUUAACAUUUUAUUAGUGUUUCUUCUAUUGUCUUUCUAAUAUACUGUAAUUGUACAAUCAAAGUGAAAUGCCAUGAGGGUGGAAAAUCAUUAUAGUGAAUUUCUUUUUAUAACAUAAGAGCCUGUAUAUUCCCCUUCAUUUUGUGGACAGCAAAAUUGCAUCACAAGGAACACAAAAGAAGAAUUUCCCACUUGCUGGUUUAAAACUUGUUACCUUUUGUAUUUGAAGCUGUCUUUUUUGAUGUCAUUAUUGACUGUUCUAGGAUGUAGGCAAAUGCCUUACCGUCACUCACAGAGUCAGGAGGUAAUGGUUCAAUACAUGACAUAACCAAUGGAGAAAAUUCCUGGGGGAAUAUGAAAAAUCCUCAUGUAAGUACUCUGGAAACAGUCCAUAGUAUUAAUUUUCCAGACAGAUCACAUUGCACAGCAAUCUUAAAUAACUUGGGUUUAGAGUUAUAAUAGAGUAUCACCAAAUUUGCUCUUUUAAAGGCAGUAUCUGCCCAACUGUCCCUUCAAAGUGAAGGUUCUCAGACAAAUUCAAGAAUUUUAAAUACUUCUCUGAUUCAGCCAUAUCUGUAAUGAAAAAGCACAGAAAAUGGUACUACCUGGGAGAGAUUAAUAGCUGAUAAAAAGAAAUAGUUACAAAAUUAUCAAUAUACAGUUUUUUGGUGGGUGACUCAUGUCAACUUUAGGGUUGUUAACAUUGUCUCAUGGGCCAUAGUUUUCUCAUAUAGAAAAAUUAUUUGUAAUGUAAGAAGAUGAAUGUUUGAAUAGCUAUCAGUCAGGAAAACAAUUGUCUAAUACUUGUCCAAGUAUUGUACAGUUGUAAUACCAACCAACAUAAAACACUCAGAAUAUUAAAUGUUUUUAAAAUUUAUCAUUGAACAGAAACAUCUGCUCUUCAAUCAUUUAUUUUUGAGGAAUGCCAGGACUUUAUUGAGAUCUAUUCCUUGGAGUCUGUACUGUUAGGGUUUCUAGUUGCAUCUAUAUUCCUGAUGCAAAAUUUUUGAUCUUUAGUAUCAAUUCUUUUCUUUAAUAAGUGAUCUAGUGAUGUGGGAAAGCUUAGAAAGAUAAUUUUAAGUUCAUGAGCUAGAAGUCGCACCUAGUUCAUUUUGUGUUGUCAUGUUCAUCUACCUGUCAAUCAGGGGACCCCUCCCCAGAAGCACCUCCUUUUACCUGGGACUUGGGGUGGUGCUACAUAAACACUUCUGUUUUUCAAAGUGCAUAAAAAGAUAGGAAGAGCAGAAGCUCGCUCUUUCCUUCAUGUGGACGCAAGCGAGCAGAGCAGGGUAUGAUAAUUCCCUUUCUUUGGCCCCAUUCUCCCUUAUUAAGUCCCUAAUGGGUCUGUGUAUUUUUCUCACUUUGUAAAUAAAGUUUUUCACACUGCAUGCCCUGUUUGGGCCUGUAUUUAGAAUUCUUCUCUAAGUAAAAGGCAAGAAUCUGGAAAAUAAAUUUAGGCCCAAUUCCCAGCCUAUAACACUAGUAUCUACUUAUUUGCAUGAGUACAAUGAGGCUGCAGUGCAUAUCUUGUCCAUUGAUGACUUGCUGUAUUCAUAGACUCUGGCACAUCUCUCUGUGAAAGGAUAUCCUUUGACAUGUAGUCUUAUUGAAAUUUUUUUUCAGUUGGCCCCUGGCCUUUGGUAACUUUCCACAUAUUUAAAUUUCCAUAUAAUUAAGGAUUCUUCAAUUUCUUUCCUCAUUAAUCUCUCCUAACCUAAAGUUAUUUCCCUAGUUUUCUACUACAAUAUCCAUUAGAAAUCAAGUUGAAUUGAUUGUCACAAUCUUAUAAUGAAGAUAUUUUUAUUUCAAAUGAUACAAAGUAAUGCAUUUUUAUUAGUAUAUCAUUACUAUUAAAUUACUAUUAACUUCAGAGAAGGUCAAGUGCUUACCAUAUGACAAAAUAAUAUACAGUGGUUUUCUUGGUUUGAAAUAUCCUGAGCAUGUUUUAUGUGUAAACUAGAGGAUAUUGGAUACAAAGCAAAGUUCUAAGUUACUGCUGUCUGAGGAUGUUUAAUGCUGUCAUACAGAAAGUUUGAAACACUGUGCAGGUGAGAAUCUGUUUUUCAGGUUUACUUGAAGCUAGAGGAGCCUUCAAUCGUCAAAUAGGCUUUAAAUUUUUUCUUCCAUCAUCACAGUGCAGUGAACAAUCAAAUUGUACAGAGAAUGUAGUUACUAAAAUACUCAGAAACAGUGUGCUGUUGAAAGAGAGAGAGAGGCAGACAGACACACAGAGAGUCAUAUUACAGAAUUACUGCUGAAUGAUAAUAAUAAUAAUAAUAAUAAUAAUAGAGCAAGGAUUCUGUACCAUUAAGAAUACAAGCACAGACCUUCUAGCUAUCCAGACAGUGAGGGGCACAGUGAGGAGGGCUCAUUCCAGGGCAGACAUUGUAUUCUGGACACUGUUUAGAGCUCAUCUGUAAGCCCUUGGUGAUGAGGAAACAAACAAAAGACAGGUAUCAGCAUCCUGGAUAUAUUCUGUUAAGUUGGUUUAAUGCUUUGGAUAUGGUAGCCUGGAUAAAUUUCCAAUUAGGAAGUAUAAGCUUAGUCAUUUAAAAAUAUUUUGAUAAAAUAGAGACUGAAAAGCACAAUAUUAUAAACAUUUGUAUCUUUUUCAUUGUAACUCAAUCAAAUAAUUUCUAUUGGUUCUUUUUAUUUUUGUCAAAAAACACUAAGAACCAUGGGGGAAUUCUUCCUUAUAGAAAUUUGGACUUUACCAAAUUAUGAGGGACAUCUGCUGCUUAGACUGGGCCAAACCAGAUGAGUAGCCUUUACUUAUAGGUGGUGCCUUGGUCAAGGACAUUUCUAAUUAUGAUGAGGCUGUAGUAUCUGGAGGAUGGUGGAGGUCGGAAAAUAAUUGAUUCUAUUCUUAUGUGCUGUGCAGUGUGAGCACAAAGCCCAGAAGUUUUAGGUCAGCUUUUAGGAUUACAGAAAUGUGAGGUCACUGGAAGCCAGCAGAAGCCUGAACUUUAGUGUAAUUUUCUACUUCCCCUGAAGGUGCCUGUGUCUCACUGCUAUUUCAUACAUUGAGAUUUGGGAGUCCUACACUCCUGUGGUAUUAAUGAUUUUAUGACUAUUUUAAGAUUUACUUUAUGUGAGUUAAGUUGAACAUCUUUUCAAUUGAAAAUAGUUUUAGCCCUUGCCUAUGUUCCUGAUGCACUAUGGCUUUUUUACUUUCUGUAAAAAAAGGAGUGCAGAUUGGUGCCUUUUCACAUGGGACACCAAACGUAAGAAAAAGGGGUACAGAACAGAGAGGAUUACAAACUUACAUCCAGACUGAAUUUAUUCAAAGAAAAUAAAUCUGUGGAGGUGGGUGACCAGUUGGCAGUGUGCACACAAACUGAACACAUGGCAUAUGGCCCAGACCCCAGUAGGCUGGGCCUUUUUAUAUCUUAGGUGGACUAGGAGUGGGGUUGGGGGGGCAGUAGGCAGAGGUGAGCUUCCCCAACAGGUUCUUCAAGUUCGGCCCAAACCUGGGUAAGAAUGCAAUGGGCUGGGUGAGGAACAAUAUGGUGUGAGAGUGAAUUGGGAUUCAUGGACAAGGGAUGAAUUCUGAUUUUAUCUAUCUUUUGGGUAAUGAUUGAGAAUGGCUGAGGAUUAUGUCCUUGUUCCAUCACUUUCUGUUAGUUGGAUUCUUGAUUUAAUAGAACAAUUAAGCCCUUCCUAGAUCAUAAUAUAUAUUAAAAUAUAUUAUCUCAAAAGUACAAAAAAGAUUGGAGAUGUUAGCAAGUUUCAUAAUGCCUUUCUAUAAAUUCAAAGCAAAAAAUAUGAAACAUAAGUUGAUUCUUUUUUAAUGAAUAGGAAUAAUUCCCAUUUAUUCUAAACAUGAACAGAAGUACAUUACAUACCUCUUAAGAACAAGUAAACAGGGCCAGCGCUAUGGCUUAGUGAGUAAAGCCGCCAACUGCACUGUAUCCCAUAUGGGUGCCAGUUCACGUCCCGGCUGCUCCACUUCCUAUUUAGAUCUCUGCUAUGGCCUGGGAAAGCAGUGGAAGGUGGCCCAAAUCCUUGGGCCCUGUACCCACAUGGAAGACCCAGAAGAAGCUUCUGACUCCUGGCUUUGGAUCAGUGCAGCUCUGGCUGUUGCGGCCAUUUGGGGAGUGAAUCAGCAGAUGGAAGACCUCUCUCUCUCUCUCUGCUUCUCCUCUCUCUCUGUGUAACUCUGACUUUCAAAUUAAUAAAUAAAUCUAAAAAAAAAAGAACAGGCAAACUCCUUGAAACUGUGUAGUAGACCACAUAGGGAUAAAUGAUCUUUAUGCAGCUCAAAACCAUAGAACCUCCAUGUAUUAGUUCAUUUUUCGUGAUUUUCAUGAAAUAUAUCAGGUAGGCUAACUAUCAACAAAAGAGGUUUACUUUGGCUUAGGAUUCUGGAGGUUCACAUUCCAAGCAGCAUGGUGCAGGUUCUGGAGUGCAUCACUGCAUGGUGCAUGGCCUUCUAGAGGCAGAGUCCCAGGGUGGCACACAGCAUCACCUGGUGAGAGACAGAGAGCUUGAGUGUCUACAACUGUGUGCAUGGGUUAUCUCAUCUAGGAAAAUCACCAGGUUCUACCAUGGAGACUGCACCCUAACGGUUGUAUCUAAUGCAAAUCACUUCCUGAAGGUCC